RNAcentral lists this ribosomal RNA (265 nucleotides) under uncultured bacterium. Its description in RNAcentral is "partial 16S ribosomal RNA". It matches the Rfam family "Bacterial small subunit ribosomal RNA", at positions 793 to 1055 of the family's 1533-position model. The record is from RNAcentral.
GUCCAUGCCGUAAACGGUGGGCGCUAGGUGUAGGGGACUUCCACGUCUUCUGUGCCGCAGCUAACGCAUUAAGCGCCCCGCCUGGGGAGUACGGCCGCAAGGCUAAACUCAAAGGAAUUGACGGGGGCCCGCACAAGCGGCGGAGCAUGUGGUUUAAUUCGAAGCAACGCGAAGAACCUUACCUGGAUUUGACAUCCUCGGACAACCCUAGAGAUAGGGCUUUGGUAGCAAUACCACCGGGAGACAGGUGCUGCAUGGCUGUCGU